UACGAAGGGGGCGAGCGUUGUUCGGAGUUACUGGGCGUAAAGGGCGCGUAGGCGGCGCUCCAAGUUAGGCGUGAAAGCCCCGGGCUCAACCUGGGAACUGCGUUUGAAACUACAAGGCUAGAGUGUAGCAGAGGGGGGUGGAAUUCCACGUGUAGCAGUGAGAUGCGUAGAGAUGUGGAGGAACACCGAUGGCGAAGGCAGCGCCCUGGGUUAACACUGACGCUCAGGCACGAAAGCGUGGGGAGCAAACAGG
This 253-nucleotide ribosomal RNA is filed under the name uncultured bacterium. RNAcentral's name for it is "partial 16S ribosomal RNA". It matches the Rfam family "Bacterial small subunit ribosomal RNA", at positions 524 to 776 of the family's 1533-position model. The record is from RNAcentral.